CUGCCUCCUUCUGUGCCUGCCUGGCUGCCCCUACCCUGGGGCUCCCUCCUAGCCCCCACCUCACCUACUGGCUCACUGAGACAGAGCCAAACAUGAAAGGGAAGGUGACGGCCUGGCCAUAGGGCCCAGGAAAAUGCAGGUAUCAUUAACAGCCUGGAGCACUGUGGCCUGUCCACUCUCAACCCUCUGCUGCCCACCCCUUCCUGGAAUAGACCCCAGGCCACAUACAGAGGGGGCAAGCCCAAGAUGCUGACGAUACGACAGUGAAUACAACAUGAAAAAACAAGCACACUUCUCACCCCUAUGGAGCUUUAUUCUGGUCAGGCAGAAGGAGAAGGAAAUGUAAACAUGCAAGGUCAGGUACUGCUGUGAAGCAAAAUAAAGCUGUGGGUACUGUGCGAAGGAUAGGCUGUGUGUGUGUGUGUCUGUGUGCGUGUGUGUGUGUGUGUUGUGCAUAUUAAGUCAAAAAAUGAAUCUGGAUGAUCCUGGGCCAGGUCUGACCCCAGCAUUGCCACUGACUGUAUAAUCUCAAGCAAGUCAUGCCUCCCCUCUGGGCCUCACUUUCCUCAUCUGUAAAGUGAGACCGUGGACUGAAAGGCCAUUGUG
This 606-nucleotide long non-coding RNA is filed under the name Homo sapiens (human). RNAcentral's name for it is "HSALNT0334331". The record is from RNAcentral. Lineage: Eukaryota; Metazoa; Chordata; Mammalia; Primates; Hominidae.